AUACGGAGGGUGCAAGCAUUAAUCGGAUUUAUUGGGCGUAAAGCGCACGUAGGCGGACUGGUCAGUUGGGGGUGAAAUCCCAGGGCUUAACCCUGGAACUGCCUUCAAUACUACCAGUCUUGAGACCGAGAGAGGUGAGUGGAAUUCCUAGUGUAGAGGUGAAAUUCGUAGAUAUUAGGAAGAACACCAGUGGCGAAGGCGGCUCACUGGCUCGGUACUGACGCUGAGGUGCGAAAGCGUGGGGAGCAAACAGGAUUAGAAACCCCGGUAGUCC
RNAcentral lists this ribosomal RNA (274 nucleotides) under uncultured bacterium. RNAcentral's name for it is "partial 16S ribosomal RNA". It matches the Rfam family "Bacterial small subunit ribosomal RNA", at positions 523 to 796 of the family's 1533-position model. The record is from RNAcentral.